RNAcentral lists this ribosomal RNA (234 nucleotides) under uncultured Candidatus Saccharibacteria bacterium. Its description in RNAcentral is "partial 16S ribosomal RNA". It matches the Rfam family "Bacterial small subunit ribosomal RNA", at positions 584 to 818 of the family's 1533-position model. Lineage: Bacteria; Candidatus Saccharimonadota. The record is from RNAcentral.
UAAGUAGGUAGUAAAGCCUGGGGCUCAACCACAAGGCUAUUACCUGAACUGACAAGCUUGAGUAUGGUAGAGGUCGCUGGAAUUCCAAGUGUAGGAGUGAAAUCCGUAGAUAUUUGGAGGAACACCGAUGGCGUAGGCAGGUGACUGGACCAUAACUGACACUAAGGCACGAAAGCGUGGGUAGCAAACGGGAUUAGAUACCCCGGUAGUCCACGCCCUAAACGAUGGAUGCUA